GAUGAACGCUGGCGGCGUGCUUAACACAUGCAAGUCGAACGAAGCACUUUAUUUUAUUUCCUUCGGGACUGAUUAUUUUUUGACUGAGUGGCGGACGGGUGAGUAACGCGUGGGUAACCUGCCUUGUACAGGGGGAUAACAUUUGGAAACAGCUUCUAAUACCGCAUAAGCGCACAGCAUCGCAUUAUGCAGUUUGAAAAACUCCGGUGGUAUAAGAUGGACCCGCGUUGGAUUAGCUAGUUGGUGAGGUAACGGCCCACCAAGGCGACGAUCCAUAGCCGACCUGAGAGGGUGACCGGCCACAUUGGGACUGAGACACGGCCCAAACUCCUACGGGAGGCAGCAGUGGGGAAUAUUGCACAAUGGGCGAAAGCCUGAUGCAGCGACGCCGCGUGAGCGAAGAAGUAUUUAGGUAUGUAAAGCUCUAUCAGCAGGGAAGAUAAUGACGGUACCUGACGAAGAAGCACCGGCUAAAUACGUG
RNAcentral lists this ribosomal RNA (481 nucleotides) under uncultured bacterium. Its description in RNAcentral is "partial 16S ribosomal RNA". It matches the Rfam family "Bacterial small subunit ribosomal RNA", at positions 28 to 507 of the family's 1533-position model. The record is from RNAcentral.